Molecule: long non-coding RNA, 365 nt
Organism: Corticium candelabrum
Lineage: Eukaryota; Metazoa; Porifera; Homoscleromorpha; Homosclerophorida; Plakinidae
Exons: 3
Source: RefSeq, a predicted model, not a curated record
UCUCAUCUACUCUGUUGUCUUAGCUGUGAUCACUCCGUAACAAGUGCUGUUACCUUACAUCGCCUUUGUGUGUGCAAGCAGAAUGGGCAUCGAUACUAGUACUACUAUCUGGCUGGCGUGUAUUGGGCUAAUCAUCUCUCCUGCAUACGGAUGGUUCUGGCGACCGAAACCAAUCUCAUUCCCGUGUCAUCAGCCAUUGCCUUCUGCUCCCGUCUACGGCAGUGUGAGUCGAAGUUCCCACAGCAGUGGAAUGUUUGUAUAUCAAGUCGUCACGUACAGUUGUUUUCCCGGAUACAAACUGAUCGGAGUGUCGAGACGGACUUGUGCGAUUGUGUGGAACCACGAGAAUCCCGUUUGUCAACUGG